CCUGCCCAAGAGAUCGGGAUAACACCUGGAGACAGAUGCUAAUACCGGAUAACAACAGAUGAUGCCUAUCAACUGUUUAAAAGAUGGUUCUGCUAUCACUCUUGGAUGGACCUGCGGUGCAUUAGCUAGUUGGUAGGGUAACGGCCUACCAAGGCAUGAUGCAUAGCCGAGUUGAGAGACUGAUCGGCCACAUUGGGACUGAGACACGGCCCAAACUCCUACGGGAGGCAGCAGUC
RNAcentral lists this ribosomal RNA (236 nucleotides) under uncultured Lactobacillus sp. Its description in RNAcentral is "partial 16S ribosomal RNA". It matches the Rfam family "Bacterial small subunit ribosomal RNA", at positions 125 to 355 of the family's 1533-position model. The record is from RNAcentral. Lineage: Bacteria; Bacillati; Bacillota; Bacilli; Lactobacillales; Lactobacillaceae.